This 517-nucleotide ribosomal RNA is filed under the name uncultured Lachnospiraceae bacterium. RNAcentral's name for it is "partial 16S ribosomal RNA". The record is from RNAcentral. Lineage: Bacteria; Bacillati; Bacillota; Clostridia; Lachnospirales; Lachnospiraceae.
CACGUAGUUAGCCGGGGCUUCUUAGUCAGGUACCGUCAUUUUCUUCCCUGCUGAUAGAGCUUUACAUACCGAAAUACUUCUUCACUCACGCGGCGUCGCUGGAUCAGGGUUUCCCCUAUUGUCCAAUAUUCCCCACUGCUGCCUCCCGUAGGAGUUUGGGCCGUGUCUCAGUCCCAAUGUGGCCGUUCACCCUCUCAGGCCGGCUACUGAUCGUCGCCUUGGUAGGCCGUUACCCUACCAACAAGCUAAUCAGACGCGGGUCCAUCCUGCACCACCUUAGUUUUUCACACCUGGCCAUGCGGCCUCGUGCGCUUAUGCGGUAUUAGCACCUGUUUCCAGGUGUUAUCCCCCGGUGCAGGGCACGGUUCCCCACGCGUUACUCCACCCGUCCGCCACUAAGUUAUCCUCUCUUCCACUCUUAGCAAGCUAAUUGCUUACUAAAAUGAAUAACUCCGUUCGACUUGCAUGUGUUAAGCACGCCGCCAGCGUUCAUCCUGACGCCGAGGAUACAAACUCU